Molecule: long non-coding RNA, 1345 nt
Filed under: Mus musculus (house mouse)
Lineage: Eukaryota; Metazoa; Chordata; Mammalia; Rodentia; Muridae
Description: predicted gene 10505, transcript variant 7 (Gm10505)
Source: RNAcentral
GGAGUUUGUCGGCAGCAACAGGCACGGUCUCCAGAAGAAGGUGUGUGCAACCAUACCUUUAAUCCCAGAUGACCUUGAACUCAGAGAUCUCCUUAUCUUAAUCUUCUGGAAUUCAUAGCCACUAUACCUCAAGAUCUCCAUGCCAAGAUCCAGGUCAGAAACUUGUAUCUCCCAGCCUCCAGAUUAGGAUCACAGGUUUCUGUUGCUGAGAUGAAACGCCAUGACCAAGAAGCAAGUUGAGGAGGAAAGGGUUUAUUCAGCUUACACUUCCAUACUGCUGUUCAUCACCAAAAGAGGGCACCAACUGUUCUGAUCUCUUGAAGAGCUCCUCAGGCAACCUUCUGUUUCUAGCAAGAUGAUACACCCAAGCCUUGAUGACAAGGCUUGGCUCUCAACCUCCUUGCUCCCCACCUCCUGUGAAAUACACAAAGAAAUUCAGUGAUCAUCGGGGAUGCUCUGGUCCAAACACUACCUGCCAGCCAGACGCAGGAGAUGGAUGGCUCAGCAGUAAUCGUGCUGCUUGAGCUUGGUGUCUAAUGGGGACAGUAGUGACAGGAAGUUCACAGGGACUGGAAGACAUGAGUUCUCUGAGGGAAAGGAAGGUGAAGCCUGGUGCUUAGGACCCUCAGGAGACCAUAGGAUGUGAGAAGGCUCAAGACACCCAGAGGUGGGGUCAGAAACAGGGCAAAGGAGACCAAGCAUGGGAGAGCUGCAGUGGACGUGUACAGACAGGAGAAGCAGGCCCUAAAGAAUCCCUGAGGCGGCAGAGAGGCUGGGCUGUGGAACUUUUUAAUUACUUUGCAUUAGGGGACUGUAGAGACCCAGAAGCCCACCCUUCCCCUCCCCUCAUCAGCUUAGCCCCAACAUAUGGUGGCUACCAAAGUAGUUAAAUCGGCUCUUGGUAGAAAAGGAAAGAGAUUCCUCCCAGGCUCUUCCCAGGGUCCACGGCCACACUCCAGGAGGGCUCAACUCCAGGGCAAGGCAGCUGGGACAGCAGGCAGCUGAAGGAGGACUAUUACUGCACCUUAGGGAAGAGUGCAGUGGCGAGUGGGGAGGACUCUGCUGGGACCCGGGGGUCAUGUGCAUUCCCAUUUAGUUGAGCUCUGCUUAAUCCGGGCCUAGGCUCACAGUAAUGGGGAACGAGGAGAGGCUCCCAUCAGAGACCAAGAAGAUGACAGACUCUCUGUAAAGGCUGUCAGAGGGGUCUGCAUGACCAACCACACCUGCUCCUGUUCCUUUGGGGCUCUUGUGACCUCCCUGUCUUCUUGUGAGAUCUUAUGUUCCUCCAACCCUGAGAGCUACAAACCAAUCUCCGGAAUAAAAAAAUCUGUCCCUCGUGCUGUCA